CCUACGGGAGGCAGCAGUGGGGAAUAUUGGACAAUGGGGGCAACCCUGAUCCAGCCAUGCCGCGUGUGUGAAGAAGGUCCUCGGGUUGUAAAGCACUUUCAGUGAGGAAGAACGCCUGGUGGUUAAUACCCAUCAGGAAAGACAUCACUCACAGAAGAAGCACCGGCUAACUCCGUGCCAGCAGCCGCGGUAAUACGGAGGGUGCGAGCGUUAAUCGGAAUUACUGGGCGUAAAGCGCGCGUAGGUGGCUUGAUAAGCCGGUUGUGAAAGCCCCGGGCUCAACCUGGGAACGGCAUCCGGAACUGUCAAGCUAGAGUGCAGGAGAGGAAGGUAGAAUUCCCGGUGUAGCGGUGAAAUGCGUAGAGAUCGGGAGGAAUACCAGUGGCGAAGGCGGCCUUCUGGACUGAAACUGACACUGAGGUGCGAAAGCGUGGGUAGCAAACAGGAUUAGAUACCACAGUAGUC
Molecule: ribosomal RNA, 465 nt
Filed under: Vreelandella stevensii
Lineage: Bacteria; Pseudomonadati; Pseudomonadota; Gammaproteobacteria; Oceanospirillales; Halomonadaceae
Description: partial 16S ribosomal RNA
Rfam family: Bacterial small subunit ribosomal RNA
Source: RNAcentral